GCUCCUCCCAGAGGCUGGGCACAUUCUGACAUCCUGACUGGGAGCUGGAGCCUUAGGGGUCCUUCUCCAGGGGAUCCCAGGAUAGCUGUGUUCCCCCAGAAAGACUCAGUUGGGUGGAGGCAGAGGAGCUGGGUGGGGGCCUGAGCUGCUGCAGCCCGCAGGUGAAGGACUGCAUGGAGCACGCAGUUCUGCCUGUGGACGGGGCAACGCUGGCAGAGGUGAUGCGCCAGCGGGGCAUCAACAUGCGCUACCUGGGCAAGGUGCUGGAGCUGGUGCUGCGGAGCCCGGCUCGCCACCAGCUGGACCAUGUCUACAAAAUCGGCGUUGGAGAACUCAUCACCCGCUCGGCCAAGCACAUCUUCAAGACGUACUUACAGGUGCCACCUGUCUGCUCUGCGGCCGGCCAUGGCCUCCCAGGGUGGUGUGGGGCGUCGGGAAAGAGCCUGAGGUGGGGCUGAGGGCUCUCAUGACUUGAAGCCAACCUGCCUCACAGGGAGUCGAACUCUCCGGCCUCUCAGCCGCCAUCAGCCACUUCCUGAACUGCUUCCUGAGUUCCUACCCGAACCCCG
This 569-nucleotide small RNA is filed under the name Pongo abelii (Sumatran orangutan). RNAcentral's name for it is "retained intron". The record is from RNAcentral. Lineage: Eukaryota; Metazoa; Chordata; Mammalia; Primates; Hominidae.